Molecule: ribosomal RNA, 393 nt
Filed under: uncultured bacterium
Lineage: Bacteria
Description: bacterial SSU rRNA
Rfam family: Bacterial small subunit ribosomal RNA
Source: RNAcentral
UCUGAUUAGCUAGUUGGUGAGGUAAGGCUCACCAAGGCUCCGAUCAGUAGCUGGUCUGAGAGGACGACCAGCCACACUGGGACUGAGACACGGCCCAGACUCCUACGGGAGGCAGCAGUGGGGAAUUUUGGACAAUGGGGGCAACCCUGAUCCAGCCAUGCCGCGUGAGUGAAGAAGGCCUUCGGGUUGUAAAGCUCUUUCAGCCGGAAAGAAAUCGUACAGACUAAUACUCUGUAUGGAUGACGGUACCGGAAGAAGAAGCACCGGCUAACUACGUGCCAGCAGCCGCGGUAAUACGUAGGGUGCGAGCGUUAAUCGGAAUUACUGGGCGUAAAGGGUGCGCAGGCGGUUUUGUAAGUCAGAUGUGAAAUCCCCGGGCUUAACCUGGGAACU